This 778-nucleotide ribosomal RNA is filed under the name uncultured bacterium. RNAcentral describes it as "bacterial SSU rRNA". It matches the Rfam family "Bacterial small subunit ribosomal RNA", at positions 61 to 819 of the family's 1533-position model. The record is from RNAcentral.
GUCGAGGGGCAUGCGGGGAGCGAAGCUUGCUUUGCUCCGCCGGCGACCGGCGCACGGGUGAGUAACGCGUAUGCAACCUGCCCGUUUCAGCGGGAUAACCCGGAGAAAUCCGGCCUAAUACCGCAUGUGGCCGAGGGAAGGCAUCUUCUUUCGGCCAAAGGAGGCGACUCCGGAGACGGAUGGGCAUGCGUGACAUUAGCUUGUUGGCGGGGUAACGGCCCACCAAGGCGACGAUGUCUAGGGGUUCUGAGAGGAAGGUCCCCCACACUGGUACUGAGACACGGACCAGACUCCUACGGGAGGCAGCAGUGAGGAAUAUUGGUCAAUGGGCGAGAGCCUGAACCAGCCAAGUCGCGUGAAGGAUGACGGCCCUACGGGUUGUAAACUUCUUUUGUCAGGGAGCAAUUGGGUCCACGCGUGGGCUUAGCGAGAGUACCUGAAGAAAAAGCAUCGGCUAACUCCGUGCCAGCAGCCGCGGUAAUACGGAGGAUGCGAGCGUUAUCCGGAUUUAUUGGGUUUAAAGGGUGCGUAGGCUGUGAGGUAAGUCAGCGGUGAAAUGCCCCCGCUCAACGGGGUGAAGUGCCAUUGAUACUGCCUUGCUGGAAUGCGGAUGCCGUGGGAGGAAUGUGUGGUGUAGCGGUGAAAUGCAUAGAUAUCACACAGAACACCGAUUGCGAAGGCAUCUCACGAAUCCGCGAUUGACGCUGAUGCACGAAAGCGUGGGUAUCAGACAGGAUUAGAUACCCUGGUAGUCCACGCUGUAAACGAUGAUGACUAA